UACGAAGGGGGCUAGCGUUGCUCGGAAUUACUGGGCGUAAAGCGCACGUAGGCGGUCUUUUAAGUCGGGGGUGAAAUCCUGGAGCUCAACUCCAGAACUGCCUUCGAUACUGGAAGACUCGAGUCCGGGGGAGGUGAGUGGAACUGCGAGUGUAGAGGUGAAAUUCGUAGAUAUUCGCAAGAACACCAGUGGCGAAGGCGGCUCACUGGCCCGGUACUGACGCUGAGGUGCGAAAGCGUGGGGAGCGAACAGG
This 253-nucleotide ribosomal RNA is filed under the name uncultured bacterium. RNAcentral describes it as "partial 16S ribosomal RNA". It matches the Rfam family "Bacterial small subunit ribosomal RNA", at positions 524 to 776 of the family's 1533-position model. The record is from RNAcentral.